GGUGGCUCAGUGGUAGAGCUCUUGCCUCGCAAGCAUGAGGCCCUGGGUUCGAUUCCUCAGUACCA
This 65-nucleotide transfer RNA is filed under the name Dipodomys ordii (Ord's kangaroo rat). It matches the Rfam family "tRNA". Rfam says of the family: Transfer RNA (tRNA) molecules are approximately 80 nucleotides in length. Their secondary structure includes four short double-helical elements and three loops (D, anti-codon, and T loops). Lineage: Eukaryota; Metazoa; Chordata; Mammalia; Rodentia; Heteromyidae. The record is from Rfam by way of RNAcentral.